ACAAUAUUUGGAAUGUCGGUCUACCGAACAAUUGCAUCCGUUUGGUGGAAUAUCCUCCCACUGUCAU
This 67-nucleotide microRNA precursor is filed under the name Bombyx mori (domestic silkworm). Its description in RNAcentral is "mir-2774 microRNA precursor family". It matches the Rfam family "mir-2774 microRNA precursor family". The record is from Rfam by way of RNAcentral. Lineage: Eukaryota; Metazoa; Arthropoda; Insecta; Lepidoptera; Bombycidae.